RNAcentral lists this long non-coding RNA (315 nucleotides) under Homo sapiens (human). Its description in RNAcentral is "non-protein coding lnc-ZIC1-5:6". The record is from RNAcentral. Lineage: Eukaryota; Metazoa; Chordata; Mammalia; Primates; Hominidae.
AGUGCAGAGUGACACAGACAGGCGACAGCGUCGCUGAGCACCAACUUCUAUUCCACGGAGGCAGACAGCGAAAACCAUUUCAUAACCAUGGCAAGGCAUGAGAGAAGCACAGGGUAGCUGCAAAGUUUUGGAAAAGACCUCUGCAACAACUGGAAGCACAGUGUACCCAAGUGAAUCUAUGUGCCUAACAUGGCUUGCAUGCUCCCAGCUUCUGCACGUGAUGCAUCUGCUAUUAACAUUCAGAGAUUCACCCUGAAAAUGAAGGCAACUGUUUGGAGAACAAUGUAAAAUGAUGAGAAUAGACCAUCCUAUGAC